Vombatus ursinus (common wombat) is the source of this 2204-nucleotide long non-coding RNA. RefSeq lists it as uncharacterized. The transcript has 3 exons. The record is from RefSeq and is a predicted model, not a curated record. NCBI's taxonomy places the organism in Eukaryota, Metazoa, Chordata, Mammalia, Diprotodontia, Vombatidae.
GUACAAAAUGCCGUUUUAGUUGGUCCUCUGAGGAAGGGAAGUGAUAGUUACUACAUUUGGAUAGGUGGGUAGUGAUCAAGACGCUAGGAUACCAUGGGAGUACUGCUAAGAAGGCCGCCAAUCCCAACCCCAACCAUCAGAUGGCUUCUUAUUUAAAUAGACUGUGGCAGCUAUUUCUAAAACCUAAUUAAUUAUUUCUUCACACUUGGCAUCCAGGGAGCUUGAUGACUUGGGGAUUUGGAAGUGGAGUGAUAAAUGUAGUGAAGAAAUAGAUGCUUCUGGUGAAGAUGACUUAAAACCAACCUCUUCGAAGCCCUCAAAAGGUUAUGUGGGAUUCAGAGAGAGCUUACUGAUUAUCUAACCCAAUGGAGUUCUUGACCUGGAGUCCAUGAAAUUUAUAUAUAUUUCCCUCACCCUGGGCAGUGCUGGGAAUAUAAUAGGUCCUAAAUGAUUAAUGGAUGGAUGGAUAUAUGUGUAAAAACUUUAUGAACUGCCGACACCAUUGGAAAUGUAAAAUGUGGUGCUGUUGCUGCUGCUGCUGUUGCUGAAGAUGAAGAUGAAAGUGAAAAUUCCCCCCUGGUCCCAAGCAUGCCAUUCUGUCAGGACUUAGUAAUCACUCCUGGUGAGAAAGCAGUGGCUUGAAGUGACGCUGAUGUUGUUCCGUGGGAGUACACUCACUCUAACACUUCUGCACCCCUAGAAUUGGAGCCAACGAUGACCGUGGUUCACUGCGAGACAGCAAGAAUGCAGGCUUUCUUGAACUGUCCCAUCAAUCACUUCAUCCCUGGGUUGGAGUGUUGCUGUGCUGAAGGGCUGAGAGGUGAUUUACUAGACCAGAGCAUCCAGCUUAGCCUCCGGUUUAUCUCCUGAAGAGACUGGCGUCUGCUAAUCUUGGAAAAGAGGUGGGGGUUCUUUUUUCAGGGAAUUACUAUCUCUGUUGGAGACUGAAAUAAGAGAAGGACAAACUGCUGGGGGAGGGAUAAAAAAGCUACAUUUGGAGCCAAAAUGAAUUUUGGCCACGAGGAGAAUGCCUAGUAGGUCUGUAGUGCUGAGUAUGGUGAAAUCUACCUUGAGCUCAUAGUAUGAACUGAUCUAGGAAGGCAAGACAGAUUCAUUCAAAGUAACCCGUCCUGCUCAGCCAUUUUCUAGGUCUUAUUUCUUCUCUUCAAAAUAAAGAGGAUAUCUUACGGUAAAAACACCCAAUACAGAAGUGGUGAGGAAGCUGCUGUAAGUCAAGACUCAAGCUGAAAAUGACUGUCAUUGUGAUUCCUGAUCCCUCAGUGAGAAAGGGCAAGGAUGAAUAAGGAAACUGAGGCAAAAGAGGAAAGAAAUGUCACAAAGCCUACCCCGAAGAGGUCAGUAUGUCCAAAACCAAGCUUGUUGCCUUUUCUUCUGACUUAUUUGACUAUACCUUUGCACUUGCUCUUCUCUGUACCUGGACUGCACACCCAUCUCUCUGAGAUAGUUAAUCUAAAGUAAUUAGAUUAUGCACACCCAUCGCUCUUAGAAUCCCUGGAAUCCUUCAAGCUCAGCUCAAAUGCUACCUUCUGCAAGAAGCAUUCCCUGAUCUGCCUCGCUCUUAAUGUCUUAACCUCCAAAGUGCCUUAUAAAUUAUGUACAUAUUAUAUACACGUAUGUGAACACAUCACAUGUGUGUAUAUGUAUACAUGUAUAUAUACUAUAAACUCCUCAAGGUCGAGGGCAGUUUUCGCUUUUAUCUUUGUAUUCCCAACAUAUGAUACAGUGCUUGGCACAUAGUAAGUGCUUAAUAAAUGUUUAUGUUUGUUGAUUGAUAGGAGCUUUAUGUGAUCAUGGAAAGAUCACUGGGAAUUCAGGAUACUUGGGUAUAGUACUGGCUCUGACAAUCACUACUUAUGUGACAUUGGGUAAAUCUCUUAACAUCCCUGAUCUUCUUCAUCUAUGAGAUGAAGGGUAGGGAUGGUGAGAAGAAGACGACUGGACUAGUUGAUCAAUCAUGUCCAAUUCCAAUUCUAAUAGUCUAUUCAUCUAUAACUAAACACCAUGAAUAUGAAUUUUAAGAGGAUAUUUGACAUGGAUUGUAUGGAUUAUAUCCAUAUUACAUGGAUUGUAAUGUCUGUGUUCAUGAUACAGAGAGUGUGAGAUGGAUGACAGUAUAAUUAGGUGGAUUUGUAGAUGAUAGAAUAACUGUACACAAGGAGUGUUGGGGCAAGGAAGAGAUAGAG